UACGUAGGGGGCUAGCGUUGUCCGGAUUUAUUGGGGGUAAAGAGCGUGUAGGCGGCCAGGUAGGUCUGCUGUGAAAACUCGAGGCUCAACCUCGAGACGUCGGCGGAAACCAUCUGGCUAGAGUCCGGAAGAGGAGAGUGGAAUUCCUGGUGUGGCGGUGAAAUGCGCAGAUAUCAGGAAGAACACCCGUGGCGAAGGCGGCUCUCUGGGACGGUACUGACGCUGAGACGCGAAAGCGUGGGGAGCGAACAGG
RNAcentral lists this ribosomal RNA (253 nucleotides) under uncultured bacterium. Its description in RNAcentral is "partial 16S ribosomal RNA". It matches the Rfam family "Bacterial small subunit ribosomal RNA", at positions 524 to 776 of the family's 1533-position model. The record is from RNAcentral.